This 338-nucleotide long non-coding RNA is filed under the name Homo sapiens (human). RNAcentral describes it as "HSALNT0046983". The record is from RNAcentral. Lineage: Eukaryota; Metazoa; Chordata; Mammalia; Primates; Hominidae.
GGAUAGUCAUUACCAGUCUCUGAUUGAGAAGCAGCUUACAAAGGUAACCUAAGCAAACCCAAAUGGACCAAAUGCAACGCUGAUGGAAUCUAAGUGCUCAGACCAAGGAACGGGGACUGAAAUAACAGUGGACACCACAUGGCAUGAUCCAAUCAGAUUGAGCCCUGGAAAGAUCAUCCCAUGGCAAGAUCCAGUUAGAUUACACUUCCUGGCAUCACCUCAUUGCAAGAUCCAAGAUCAUGCCUCAUUACCUUCUGCCUGUAAAACCUGCCCCAGCCCCCAGCUCCAGGAGACAGAUUUGAGCCAGGCUCCUGUCUUUCUCUGCAGCCUUGCAAUAA